CACGCAUGACACACUGCAUAUCAAUAAGCGGAGGAAAAGAAACUAACAAGGAUUCCCCUAGUAACGGCGAGUGAAGCGGGAAGAGCUCAAAUUUGAAAUCUUAAAGGGUUUCCCUUUACGAAUUGUAGUUUAAAGAAGUGUUUUCUGUUGGAGUUUCGGUAAAAGUUCUUUGGAAUAGGACAUCAUAGAGGGUGAGAAUCCCGUAUUUGACCAUUAUUUUCAGCUGUGUGAUACACUUUCAAAGAGUCGGAUUGUUUGGGAAUGCAGUCCAAAAUGGGUGGUAAAUUUCAUCUAAAGCUAAAUAUUGGCGAGAGACCGAUAGCGAACAAGUACCGUGAGGGAAAGAUGAAAAGAACUUUGAAAAGAGAGUUAAACAGUACGUGAAAUUGUCAAAAGGGAAGCGUUUGACACCAGUGUUGUUUUUCCGAAAAUCAAUUAAAAAUUGAUUCAUGCCAGGUUGUAUUGACUUCAUCAGCUUGCAAUGGCUUCUUUCAGGAUUAUUUGAUGCACUUUUCAGGUUAACAAGUCAACAUCAAUUUCUUUUGUUGUAAAAGGGUAUGAGGAAGGUGGCUUACUCUUCGGCGUAAAGUGUUUAUAGCCUUGUACCUCCUGCAAUCGGAGAGAUUGAGGUCUGCAGCGUAGACUCUUCGGGGUUAGAUACACUUGUGCUAAGCUAUAGCCUUGUAUAGACAACUUGUUGACUAUGCUCAGUCAUGUAGCUUACUCGCUUAUGCUAUUUUACCUACGCUUAGGAUGUUGACUGAUAUGUAGUCGUA
Molecule: ribosomal RNA, 776 nt
Filed under: uncultured Neocallimastigales
Lineage: Eukaryota; Fungi; Neocallimastigomycota; Neocallimastigomycetes; Neocallimastigales
Description: partial large subunit ribosomal RNA
Rfam family: Eukaryotic large subunit ribosomal RNA
Source: RNAcentral